GACGAACGCUGGCGGCGUGCUUAACACAUGCAAGUCGAACGGAAAGGCCCGGCUGUUGGCGGGGGCUCGAGUGGCGAACGGGUGGAUAACACGUGGGUGACCGGGCCUAGACUUUGGAAUAACGUCAGGAAACUCGGGCUAAUACCGGAUAGGAGCUCCAGCGGCAUGGUGGGGGGGGCAAAGUUUCGGCGGGUGGGGAUGGGGGCGCGGCUUGUCAGCUUGUGGGUGGGGUAGUGGCUUACCAAGGCUUUGACGGGUAGCCGGGCUGAGAGGGUGACCGGACAGACUGGGACGGAGCUGCGGCCCGGACUACUCCGGGAGGCAGGAGUGGGGAAUAUUGCACUAUGGGAGGAAGCCUAAUGCAGCAACGCAGCGCGGCGGGUGAGGGCAAUCGCGUCGUAUAGCGCAUCCGUCUGUGCGGAAGCGUGAGUGACGGUAAUGGGUAAAGAAGCACCGGCUAACUACGUG
This 468-nucleotide ribosomal RNA is filed under the name uncultured bacterium. Its description in RNAcentral is "partial 16S ribosomal RNA". It matches the Rfam family "Bacterial small subunit ribosomal RNA", at positions 28 to 507 of the family's 1533-position model. The record is from RNAcentral.